RNAcentral lists this ribosomal RNA (1457 nucleotides) under Salmonella enterica subsp. enterica serovar Typhi str. CT18. RNAcentral's name for it is "bacterial SSU rRNA". It matches the Rfam family "Bacterial small subunit ribosomal RNA". The record is from RNAcentral. Lineage: Bacteria; Pseudomonadati; Pseudomonadota; Gammaproteobacteria; Enterobacterales; Enterobacteriaceae.
ACGAGUGGCGGACGGGUGAGUAAUGUCUGGGAAACUGCCUGAUGGAGGGGGAUAACUACUGGAAACGGUGGCUAAUACCGCAUAACGUCGCAAGACCAAAGAGGGGGACCUUCGGGCCUCUUGCCAUCAGAUGUGCCCAGAUGGGAUUAGCUUGUUGGUGAGGUAACGGCUCACCAAGGCGACGAUCCCUAGCUGGUCUGAGAGGAUGACCAGCCACACUGGAACUGAGACACGGUCCAGACUCCUACGGGAGGCAGCAGUGGGGAAUAUUGCACAAUGGGCGCAAGCCUGAUGCAGCCAUGCCGCGUGUAUGAAGAAGGCCUUCGGGUUGUAAAGUACUUUCAGCGGGGAGGAAGGUGUUGUGGUUAAUAACCGCAGCAAUUGACGUUACCCGCAGAAGAAGCACCGGCUAACUCCGUGCCAGCAGCCGCGGUAAUACGGAGGGUGCAAGCGUUAAUCGGAAUUACUGGGCGUAAAGCGCACGCAGGCGGUCUGUCAAGUCGGAUGUGAAAUCCCCGGGCUCAACCUGGGAACUGCAUUCGAAACUGGCAGGCUUGAGUCUUGUAGAGGGGGGUAGAAUUCCAGGUGUAGCGGUGAAAUGCGUAGAGAUCUGGAGGAAUACCGGUGGCGAAGGCGGCCCCCUGGACAAAGACUGACGCUCAGGUGCGAAAGCGUGGGGAGCAAACAGGAUUAGAUACCCUGGUAGUCCACGCCGUAAACGAUGUCUACUUGGAGGUUGUGCCCUUGAGGCGUGGCUUCCGGAGCUAACGCGUUAAGUAGACCGCCUGGGGAGUACGGCCGCAAGGUUAAAACUCAAAUGAAUUGACGGGGGCCCGCACAAGCGGUGGAGCAUGUGGUUUAAUUCGAUGCAACGCGAAGAACCUUACCUGGUCUUGACAUCCACAGAACUUUCCAGAGAUGGAUUGGUGCCUUCGGGAACUGUGAGACAGGUGCUGCAUGGCUGUCGUCAGCUCGUGUUGUGAAAUGUUGGGUUAAGUCCCGCAACGAGCGCAACCCUUAUCCUUUGUUGCCAGCGGUCCGGCCGGGAACUCAAAGGAGACUGCCAGUGAUAAACUGGAGGAAGGUGGGGAUGACGUCAAGUCAUCAUGGCCCUUACGACCAGGGCUACACACGUGCUACAAUGGCGCAUACAAAGAGAAGCGACCUCGCGAGAGCAAGCGGACCUCAUAAAGUGCGUCGUAGUCCGGAUUGGAGUCUGCAACUCGACUCCAUGAAGUCGGAAUCGCUAGUAAUCGUGGAUCAGAAUGCCACGGUGAAUACGUUCCCGGGCCUUGUACACACCGCCCGUCACACCAUGGGAGUGGGUUGCAAAAGAAGUAGGUAGCUUAACCUUCGGGAGGGCGCUUACCACUUUGUGAUUCAUGACUGGGGUGAAGUCGUAACAAGGUAACCGUAGGGGAACCUGCGGUUGGAUCACCUCCUUACCUUAAAGAAGC